AACGUAGGUUCCGAGCGUUAUCCGGAUUUACUGGGCGUAAAGCGCGUUCAGGCGGUUUGGCAAGUCGGGCAUGAAAUCUCUCGGCUCAACCGGGAGAGGUUGUCCGAUACUGCUGGACUUGAGGGCAGUAGAGGGUGGCGGAAUUCCGGGUGUAGUGGUGAAAUGCGUAGAGAUCGGGAGGAACACCUGUGGCGAAGGCGGCCCCCUGGGCCGGCCCUGACACUGAGACGCGAAGGCGUGGGGAGCGAACGGG
Molecule: ribosomal RNA, 253 nt
Filed under: uncultured bacterium
Lineage: Bacteria
Description: partial 16S ribosomal RNA
Rfam family: Bacterial small subunit ribosomal RNA
Source: RNAcentral